This 246-nucleotide ribosomal RNA is filed under the name uncultured bacterium. RNAcentral's name for it is "partial 16S ribosomal RNA". It matches the Rfam family "Bacterial small subunit ribosomal RNA", at positions 87 to 334 of the family's 1533-position model. The record is from RNAcentral.
UAUGGCGACCGGCGCACGGGUGAGUAACACGUAUCCAACCUGCCGAUGACUCGGGGAUAGCCUUUCGAAAGAAAGAUUAAUACCCGAUGGCAUAGUUCUUCCGCAUGGUAGAACUAUUAAAGGAUUUCGGUCAUCGAUGGGGAUGCGUUCCAUUAGGUUGUUGGCGGGGUAACGGCCCACCAAGCCUUCGAUGGAUAGGGGUUCUGAGAGGAAGGUCCCCCACAUUGGAACUGAGACACGGUCCAA